GACGAACGCUGGCGGCGUGCUUAACACAUGCAAGUCGAACGGAAAGGCCUCUUUCGGGGGGUACUCGAGUGGCGAACGGGUGAGUAACACGUGAGUAACCUGCCCUUGACUUUGGGAUAACUUCAGGAAACUGGGGCUAAUACCGGAUAGGAGCUCCUGCUGCAUGGUGGGGGUUGGAAAGUUUCGGCGGUUGGGGAUGGACUCGCGGCUUAUCAGCUUGUUGGUGGGGUAGUGGCUUACCAAGGCUUUGACGGGUAGCCGGCCUGAGAGGGUGACCGGCCACAUUGGGACUGAGAUACGACCCAGACUCCUACGGGAGGCAGCAGUGGGGAAUAUUGCACAAUGGGUGGAAGCCUGAUGCAGCAACGCCGUGCGCGGGAUGACGGCCUUCGGGUUGUAAACCGCUUUCGCUCAUGACGAAGCUUUGUGUGACGGUAGUGGGUAAAGAAGCACCGGCUAACUACGUG
Molecule: ribosomal RNA, 467 nt
Filed under: uncultured bacterium
Lineage: Bacteria
Description: partial 16S ribosomal RNA
Rfam family: Bacterial small subunit ribosomal RNA
Source: RNAcentral